UGGGGAAUAUUGGACAAUGGGCGAAAGCCUGAUCCAGCCAUGCCGCGUGUGUGAAGAAGGUCUUCGGAUUGUAAAGCACUUUAAGUUGGGAGGAAGGGCAGUAAGCGAAUACCUUGCUGUUUUGACGUUACCGACAGAAUAAGCACCGGCUAACUCUGUGCCAGCAGCCGCGGUAAUACAGAGGGUGCAAGCGUUAAUCGGAAUUACUGGGCGUAAAGCGCGCGUAGGUGGUUCGUUAAGUUGAAUGUGAAAGCCCCGGGCUCAACCUGGUAACUGCAUCCAAAACUGGCGAGCUAGAGUAGGGCAGAGGGUGGUGGAAUUUCCUGUGUAGCGGUGAAAUGCGUAGAUAUAGGAAGGAACACCAGUGGCGAAGGCGACCACCUGGGCUCAUACUGACACUGAGGUGCGAAAGCGUGGGGAGCAAACAGG
RNAcentral lists this ribosomal RNA (429 nucleotides) under Pseudomonadota bacterium. RNAcentral describes it as "Proteobacteria bacterium partial 16S ribosomal RNA". It matches the Rfam family "Bacterial small subunit ribosomal RNA", at positions 355 to 776 of the family's 1533-position model. The record is from RNAcentral. Lineage: Bacteria; Pseudomonadati; Pseudomonadota.